This 568-nucleotide ribosomal RNA is filed under the name uncultured Phenylobacterium sp. RNAcentral describes it as "bacterial SSU rRNA". It matches the Rfam family "Bacterial small subunit ribosomal RNA", at positions 329 to 915 of the family's 1533-position model. The record is from RNAcentral. Lineage: Bacteria; Pseudomonadati; Pseudomonadota; Alphaproteobacteria; Caulobacterales; Caulobacteraceae.
CAGGUCACUCCUACGGGAGGCAGCAGUAGGGAAUCUUGCGCAAUGGGCGAAAGCCUGACGCAGCCAUGCCGCGUGAAUGAUGAAGGUCUUAGGAUUGUAAAAUUCUUUCACCGGGGAAGAUAAUGACGGUACCCGGAGAAGAAGCCCCGGCUAACUUCGUGCCAGCAGCCGCGGUAAUACGAAGGGGGCUAGCGUUGCUCGGAAUUACUGGGCGUAAAGGGCGCGUAGGCGGAUGUUUAAGUCGGGGGUGAAAGCCCGGGGCUCAACCUCGGAAUUGCCUUCGAUACUGGACAUCUUGAGUACGGGAGAGGUGAGUGGAACUCCGAGUGUAGAGGUGAAAUUCGUAGAUAUUCGGAAGAACACCAGUGGCGAAGGCGACUCACUGGCCCGUUACUGACGCUGAGGCGCGAAAGCGUGGGGAGCAAACAGGAUUAGAUACCCUGGUAGUCCACGCUGUAAACGAUGAGUGCUAGUUGUCGGCAUGCAUGCAUGUCGGUGACGCAGCUAACGCAUUAAGCACUCCGCCUGGGGAGUACGGUCGCAAGAUUAAAACUCAAAGGAAUUGACG